ACUCCUACGGGAGGCAGCAGUCAGGAAUCUUCGGCAAUGGGCGAAAGCCUGACCGAGCAACGCCGCGUGGGUGAGGAAGGCCUUCGGGUUGUAAAGCCCUGUCCUAGGGGACGAAAGCAAUGACGGUACCCUAGAAGGAAGCCCCGGCUAACUACGUGCCAGCAGCCGCGGUAAUACGUAGGGGGCGAGCGUUGUCCGGAAUUACUGGGCGUAAAGGGCGUGUAGGCGGCCACUUAAGUUUGGUGUGAAAGGCAUAGGCUCAACCUGUGGACUGCAUCGAAAACUGGGUGGCUUGAGGGUAGUAGAGGAGAGCGGAAUUCCCGGUGUAGCGGUAAAAUGCGUAGAUAUCGGGAGGAACACCAGUGGCGAAGGCGGCUCUCUGGGCUACACCUGACGCUGAGGCGCGAAAGCUAGGGGAGCAAACGGGAUUAGAUACCCUGGUAGUC
Molecule: ribosomal RNA, 446 nt
Filed under: uncultured bacterium
Lineage: Bacteria
Description: bacterial SSU rRNA
Rfam family: Bacterial small subunit ribosomal RNA
Source: RNAcentral